Molecule: long non-coding RNA, 5964 nt
Filed under: Citrus x clementina
Lineage: Eukaryota; Viridiplantae; Streptophyta; Magnoliopsida; Sapindales; Rutaceae
Description: Citrus clementina (C. clementina) long non-coding RNA (CCLE_LNC005217)
Source: RNAcentral
UUGAAAGGGAGUACUUUUUCUUUUUCACAUGGGGGACAAAUAUAUGUUACUCACGUGGGUGGGUCAUGGGUGGGGGGGGGGAGAGAGAAAUUUCUCUCACCGUUCUCUCAGGGUUCCGAUGUUUAGCAGCUCUCAUAGUAAAAUGUAGCAUUUUUGUAGCUUCGACCAACAUUGACACUGAUGCUUGAUCUACCAUAAAUCUUCAUGAAUAUAAAGUGUUUAUAAGUGACUUAAAUUGUCGAUUUAAUAUUUUCGAAGUCUCUCAGAGAUUGUAGAAGAUACUCAUUGCAUUAGUUUAAUUAGUAGAAUAAAGUUUGAUGGUAGAAGGUAAUUAAGGAGUAAAAUUUAAUGUUGAGCUGAGUUUUUAUUAAGUAUUGAAUUAAAUGUAUGAUUUGUUAGGAAAUUGGUGGGUGAAGCAGACACGCAGUUAAAGUAAAAUUGUAAGAAAAUAAAGAACAAGCACAAAAGAGAAUACCAGAAAUUACGUGGUUCGGCUUUUAGCCUACGUCCACGGGCGAAAACAGAAGGAAAUAUUUUACUAGUGAAAUAAGGAUUACAAGUAUUGUAAUAUUUUGGCUCACAACCCAAAACCUCAAUACACCCAAUCUCUCACUCACUAGACUCUCUGCUCUGCAAGAAUUAUUUCUCACAACUCUCGACUCUCUCUACAAAAUUGAAUGCCUCUCAAAAUGGAAUUGAAUAAUAAAAACCAAAUGAAGAGCUCCCUUUAUAUAGCCAAAAUUGGCUUAUAAAAUAUUAUUAUAUUUUAAACCGCCUUUGAUUUUUCUUCAUUCUUCUUCCUCUUUUGCAGCUGCCAAAGUCUUCUUUCUUCCUCAACAAUUUCAGCAUUUUCAAUCUUCAAAGCCGUGUGCAAAAAACUUGUUUAUUCAAAGCUUCUAGAUGCAUUCAAAGCUUCUAGAUGAAUGCCAAUAUUGACAUUCUCCCACUUGGAGAUUAAAUUGAAAAUCAAUCAAUCUCCACACCAUCCUUUCUGCUUCGCCAUAAUCAUGUUGCCUACGUUUCUGCUAGGCCACAAGAGGAUCUACUCCAGACAAACUUAUCAGUAUUUAUCGGCUUGGUCAAAACAUCUGCUAGGUUCUCCUUCGUAUGGAUUUUCUGUAAAUCCACACUUCCAUCUUCCACUACUUCACGAACGAAGUGAUACUGGACUCCUAUGUGUUUUGUCCUGGAAUGAAAGGCUGGAUUCCUUGCAAUGUGCAAGGCACUCUGACUGUCACAAAACACAGGAAUUUUCUGUUGUUUGUGCCCGAGCUCCUCCAAUAACCUUUGUAUCCAAAUAGCUUCCUUGCAAGCUUGUGUAGCUGCCAUGUACUCUGCUUCUGUUGUAGAUAAAGCCACAACGGUCUGCAGUUUCGAAACCCAGCUUACAGCUGCUCCCGCAAGUAUAAACACAUAACCAGUAGUGGAUUUCCUUUUAUCAAGAUCUCCUGCAAAAUCUGAAUCCACAUAGCCCCUGACAGUAAAUUCUGAUCCUCCAUAACAUAAUGCAACAUCUGAGGUUCCUCUGAUGUAUCUCAGAAUCCUCUUCACAGCUAUCCAAUGCUCUCCACUAGGAUUCGCCAUGUAUCGACUGACUGCUCCCACUGCUUGUGCAAUGUCCGGUCUAGUACAUAUCAUAGCGAACAUCAAACUUCCCACUGCUGAUGCAUACGGAACUCGAGACAUCUCCUUUCUCUCUGCUUCAUUGCUAGGACACAUACUUGAGGAUAAUUUGAAAUUAAUAGGAAGUGGGGUAGAAAUUGACUUACAAUCUUGCAUGUUGAAGCGCCGCAAGAUUUUCUUCAAAUAAUUCUUCUGUGAGAGCCAAAUCUUCCUGUUAUUUCUGUCUCGGUGAAUUUGCAUCCCUAGAAUCUUGUUUGCUGGUCCCAAGUCCUUCAUUUCAAACUCCCUAGCUAACUGUGCCUUCAAUUCUUGGAUUCGAUCUUUGUUGGGACCUGCUACCAACAUGUCAUCCACAUACAACAAUAAAAUGAUGAAAUCAUUAUCUUCAAACCUCUUGUAAUAUGUACAAUGAUCUGAACCGAGUCUGUUGUAUCCAAGGCUCAUGAUGAAGGAAUCAAAUCUCUUAUACCAACACCUCGGCGCCUGUUUGAGACCGUAUAGAGAUUUGUUCAACCUGCAAACCAAGUUCUCCUUUCCUUUUUCUGCAAAACCUUCUGGUUGGAGCAUAUAAAUUUCUUCUUCAAGUUCUCCAUGAAGAAAUGCAGUUUUAACAUCUAACUGCUCUAGAUGUAGGUCAAAUGUAGCACACAUUGCCAAGACUAUUCUGACUGUUGUGAGUCGAACCACCGGAGAAAAUAUCUCGUUGAAGUCAAUACCUUCUUUCUGAGCAUAUCCUUUCACUACCAGUCUCGCACGAUACCGCUCCACUUGGUCAUUGCCAUCACGUUUGAUCUUGUAGACCCAUUUGUUUCCAAUGGCUUUUCUUCCACGUGGUAGUGGUACAAGUUCCCAUGUCUUGUUCUUGUGUAGAGCUUCAAUUUCUUCCUGCAUUGCUGUCAUCCACAAAGCAACAUCUGAGCUGUUUAAAGCUUCAUGGAAAGUUGAAGGCUCUCCAUCCUCUGUUAGAAGACAGUAUGCAACGUUGAUCUCUGUGACAUACUCCGAGUGCCACGUUGGCGGUCGUCUCUCACGAGUUGACCGACGAACUUCUGGAGCCUCGGACUCGACUGGUUCUUGUUCCUCGUGCUCUGGUGCUGCUUCAGAAGAAUCUGAAUUUUCUGGAUUAUUUUCGACAUAUACUGGCACAGUCUCAGACUUUUCUUUUACAGUGCCAUCAUCUUCAUCUUUUCUUUGCAGUUGAUCUUCUACAAAAAUAACAUCUCUGCUGAUGACGAUCUUGUGGGCAGUGGGGUCCCACAGACGAUACCCCUUUACUCCAUCAGCAUACCCCAAGAAGAUACAUCUUCUAGAUUUUGCAUCCAGCUUUGUUCUUUCUUGGGCAUUGUACAUCACGUACACAGGACAUCCAAAUGCAUGUAGGUAGGAAUAAUCAGCUGGCUUUCCAGUCCACAUCUCCAUCGCUGUCUUCAACCCAAUAGCUGUAGAUGGCGACCGAUUUACUAUAUAACAGGCAGUUUUGGCUGCUUCUGCCCAGAAUGAAUUGGGUAGACCAGCAGUCCUCAACAUAGCUCUUAUUCUUUCUGUAAGAGUUCUGUUCAUCCGUUCUGCCACUCCAUUUUGUUGAGGAGUGUAUGCCACCGUGAACUGUCUCUGAAUACCUUCUUGUUUACAGAAAGUAAGAAACUCGCCGUCUGUAUAUUCUCCACCAUUAUCUGUCCUCAAGCACUUGAUCUUUUUACCAGAUUCAAGUUCCACCCGCGCUUUGUAUUCUUUAAACACUGGAAAUACAUCUGACUUUUUCUUAAUUGGAUACACCCAACAUCUUCUGGAAUAAUCAUCAAUGAAAGUCACCAUGUACUUUGCACCUCCCAUGGAUAUAUCCGGUGAUUCCCAGACAUCAGAAUGAAUCAAGUCUAGAAUAUAUUUACUUCUAGUAAUAGAUCUACUGAAUUUUAAUCUAUGCUGCUUACUUGUAACACAAUGCUCGCAAAAUGGUAAACUUACCGAUUUGAGCCCCGGAAGUAAUUUUCGCUCAGAGAGAAUCUUCAAACCUUGUUCCGACAUGUGGCCAAGUUUGAGAUGCCACAUCAUCGUUGACUCUUCUCCAUUUGAUGCGACACACGCAUCAGCCUCCUGUAGUGUUUCUCCUUUAAGCAUAAAUAGAUUAGCACUGAUCUUUUCUGCCUUCAUCAAUACAAGCGCGCCUUUAACAAUCUUCAUAAUUCCAUUCUCCACAUGAGUUUUGCACCCAUGAUUGUCUAUUUGUCCCAAAGACAAUAGAUUUUUCUUUAGGCCGUUGACAUGUCGUACCUCCCCAAUUGUGCGAAUUGUACCAUCAAACAUUUUUAUUUUGAUAGUACCAAUACCAGCGAUCUCCAAGGCAUGAUCGUUACCCAUAUAUACAGAUCCUCCUGAGAUAGGUUCAUAUGUGUGGAACCAUUCUCUCCUAGAGGUCAUGUGCCAGGUAGCUCCUGAGUCUAUAAGCCAGACAUCAGAAAGUCGUUUUCUGCCUUCUGAAACAGUUGUUGCCUCACUGUAGAGAAUUUCGCCAUCAUCCGAGGUACUUGCUACACACCCCUGAGCAUUUGAUGACUCAGGUUCUUUGCCCUCUCUUUUCUUCUGGUUACUCCAACACUCCUUUUUUGACGUGCCCUUUCUUGCCACAGUUGUAGCAUUUAACAUUCUUCUUACUUCUGGAUUUUGAUCUACCAUGAUUUUGACUCCCACUGGGGCCACGUUCCGUUGAUCUCCCUCUCGUCACUGAUAGCGCCUCCGCUUGCUGCGAACUUGCUUGUCUGUUUUCCUUGUUUUUUCGCCUGCUCUCCUCAUUUAAUACGGAGGCUGCAACAUCGUCGAAAACUAGACCCUCCACUGGAUUGUUGUUCGUCAGGUUGAUGAUGAGUUGAUCAUACGAAUCUGGUAGACUUUGAAGUAGAAGCUCUGCACGUUCAUUUUCCUCUAUAUUAUGACCCAACGUUGUGAGUUGUGAAAAUAGAGUCUUCAAUGUGUUGAUGUGGUCGGUCACCAUUGUAGAUUCCGCCAUUCGAAGAGUAUAGAGUUUCCUCUUCAAGAAGAUUUUAUUGUGUAGUGACUUGGCCUCGUACAAUUUUGUGAGAGUAUCCCAUAUUUCCUUCGCCGUAUUUUUCUCUGCCACACUGGAUAAUACUCCAUCCGCAAGUGCCAAGUGUAGAUCAGAAAUGGCAUUGCCGUCUACCUCGUUCCACUUGUCAUCAGUUAUCUCCAUGGGCCUUUCUUCAAUUGCUGCCAAGCAAUUAUUUUUCCUCAAUACAGCUUUCAUCUUCAUUUUCCACAACGAAAAAUUAUUUCCGUUAAAUUUCUCAAUUUCAUACUUUGCCGCCAUUUUAUUGAUAAAUACUGUACACAAGCUAGUGUACCACCUUGAAUAGUUGUGAGUAUGUGUGAGAAUGCACACCAGGAAAGUUCCCAGGAAAGACUGGAGGGGUCACAAUGGUCCCACUUAAAACCCAGACUCCUUAAGCUCUUAUCGCCUUUGUGACAGAACUUUCCUAGACAUGUACAGAAUCACACAGUUGCUUUACUCACACCACUAUUCCCUGCUUUGCACCGCAAAAUUCUUGGAUCGUUUCCACCGUUUCACGUGAAUAGUACCGUAUACAUGAAUAGUACCGUACUCCGUAUACGUGAAUAGUAUCGUAUGCCGUAUACAUGAAUAGUGCCGUACACCGUAUACGUGAAUACGUGAACAAUUCCUGACUCCAAAAAUACAACCAAUAGCUCUGAUACCACUGUUAGGAAAUUGGUGGGUGAAGCAGACACGCAGUUAAAGUAAAAUUGUAAGAAAAUAAAGAACAAGCACAAAAGAGAAUACCAGAAAUUACGUGGUUCGGCUUUUAGCCUACGUCCACGGGCGAAAACAGAAGGAAAUAUUUUACUAGUGAAAUAAGGAUUACAAGUAUUGUAAUAUUUUGGCUCACAACCCAAAACCUCAAUACACCCAAUCUCUCACUCACUAGACUCUCUGCUCUGCAAGAAUUAUUUCUCACAACUCUCGACUCUCUCUACAAAAUUGAAUGCCUCUCAAAAUGGAAUUGAAUAAUAAAAACCAAAUGAAGAGCUCCCUUUAUAUAGCCAAAAUUGGCUUAUAAAAUAUUAUUAUAUUUUAAACCGCCUUUGAUUUUUCUUCAUUCUUCUUCCUCUUUUGCAGCUGCCAAAGUCUUCUUUCUUCCUCAACAAUUUCAGCAUUUUCAAUCUUCAAAGCCGUGUGCAAAAAACUUGUUUAUUCAAAGCUUCUAGAUGCAUUCAAAGCUUCUAGAUGAAUGCCAAUAUUGACAUGAUUUUUUUUCAUUUCUCUUGUCUAGUAAUAAUUAAUUUAUUGCUCAAUAAAAACUCAACUUAAUA